Molecule: ribosomal RNA, 465 nt
Filed under: uncultured Klebsiella sp.
Lineage: Bacteria; Pseudomonadati; Pseudomonadota; Gammaproteobacteria; Enterobacterales; Enterobacteriaceae
Description: bacterial SSU rRNA
Rfam family: Bacterial small subunit ribosomal RNA
Source: RNAcentral
CCUACGGGCGGCUGCAGUGGGGAAUAUUGCACAAUGGGCGCAAGCCUGAUGCAGCCAUGCCGCGUGUGUGAAGAAGGCCUUCGGGUUGUAAAGCACUUUCAGCGGGGAGGAAGGCGGUGAGGUUAAUAACCUCAUCGAUUGACGUUACCCGCAGAAGAAGCACCGGCUAACUCCGUGCCAGCAGCCGCGGUAAUACGGAGGGUGCAAGCGUUAAUCGGAAUUACUGGGCGUAAAGCGCACGCAGGCGGUCUGUCAAGUCGGAUGUGAAAUCCCCGGGCUCAACCUGGGAACUGCAUUCGAAACUGGCAGGCUAGAGUCUUGCAGAGGGGGGUAGAAUUCCAGGUGUAGCGGUGAAAUGCGUAGAGAUCUGGAGGAAUACCGGUGGCGAAGGCGGCCCCCUGGACAAAGACUGACGCUCAGGUGCGAAAGCGUGGGGAGCAAACAGGAUUAGAUACCCGGGUAGUC